CGGAAGGUCCGGGCGUUAUCCGGAUUUAUUGGGUUUAAAGGGAGCGUAGGCCGGAGAUUAAGCGUGUUGUGAAAUGUAGACGCUCAACGUCUGCACUGCAGCGCGAACUGGUUUCCUUGAGUACGCACAAAGUGGGCGGAAUUCGUGGUGUAGCGGUGAAAUGCUUAGAUAUCACGAAGAACUCCGAUUGCGAAGGCAGCUCACUGGAGCGCAACUGACGCUGAAGCUCGAAAGUGCGGUAUCGAACAGGAUU
RNAcentral lists this ribosomal RNA (253 nucleotides) under uncultured bacterium. RNAcentral describes it as "partial 16S ribosomal RNA". It matches the Rfam family "Bacterial small subunit ribosomal RNA", at positions 526 to 779 of the family's 1533-position model. The record is from RNAcentral.